GUCAGUAUGGCCGAGCGGUCUAAGUCGCUGCGUUCAGGUCGCAGUCCAGUACUCUGGGCGAGGGUUCGAAUCUCUCUUCUGACA
This 84-nucleotide transfer RNA is filed under the name Daphnia pulex (common water flea). It matches the Rfam family "tRNA". From Rfam's summary of the family: Transfer RNA (tRNA) molecules are approximately 80 nucleotides in length. Their secondary structure includes four short double-helical elements and three loops (D, anti-codon, and T loops). The record is from Rfam by way of RNAcentral. Lineage: Eukaryota; Metazoa; Arthropoda; Branchiopoda; Diplostraca; Daphniidae.